Molecule: ribosomal RNA, 484 nt
Filed under: uncultured bacterium
Lineage: Bacteria
Description: bacterial SSU rRNA
Rfam family: Bacterial small subunit ribosomal RNA
Source: RNAcentral
GACGAACGCUGGCGGCGUGCUUAAUACAUGCAAGUCAACUUGACUUUAGAUAGCAAUAUCGAAAGUAGGGUGGCGCACGGGUGCGUAACGCGUAGGUAAUCUGCCCUGAGGUCUGACAUAACCCGUCGAAAGGCGGGCUAACAUCAGAUGAUAUAUAAUCACGACAUCGUGGAAAUAUCAAAUCUUCGGAGCCUUGGGAUGAGCCCUGCGUCUGAUUAGGUAGUUGGCGGAGUAAUAGCCCACCAAGCCUACGAUCAGUAGCUGGCUGAGAGGAUGAUCAGCCACACUGGAACUGAGACACGGUCCAGACUCCUACGGGAGCAGCAGUAAGGAAUAUUGCUCAAUGGGGGAAACCCUGAAGCAGCAACGCCGCGUGAAGGAUGAAAUACUUUGUAUGUAAACUUCUGUAAGAUGGGAAAAAUAUUCUCCUCGGGAGAAUUGAUUGUACCAUCAGAGUAAGCCCCGGCUAACUACGUGCCAGCAG